CUUGAAUGAUUUUGGACUUUUGACCUCUAAAAGUGAAUUUGCCCAUCUGCCCAAAGAAAGAGAAGGAAACCAGGUUGCGCGCUGUCAUCUUUUCCUCAUUCACCUAUGUGAAAUGCUAAUUACAGAAAGUACAACCAAGAAAAUACUACCUUUUUGAAAAAAAAAAAACAAAACCAUUCAGCAGGUACCUGCUGUCAGGAUAUAAUUAUACAAAGUGGAAUUGGUCUCAAGCAAGAAGUGAAGGUGACCAUCCCAGCCACAUAAAGUGCCUCGGGAGCUCCUCUAAUUACCACCGACUGGAGACUUAGUCUUCUAUCUCUUUCAAAUAAUGUCAGCAGCAGCAGCGACAGCCUGCAUCUUCCUGCAUCACACUUUUUCAUUAGUCUGCUCUGACUCACCCUCCUCACCUUCUUCCACCCAAUAAACCUUCCAUUGAGUGA
Suricata suricatta (meerkat) is the source of this 440-nucleotide long non-coding RNA. RefSeq lists it as uncharacterized. NCBI's taxonomy places the organism in Eukaryota, Metazoa, Chordata, Mammalia, Carnivora, Herpestidae. The record is from RefSeq and is a predicted model, not a curated record. The transcript is spliced from 2 exons.